This 372-nucleotide ribosomal RNA is filed under the name uncultured organism. RNAcentral's name for it is "bacterial SSU rRNA". It matches the Rfam family "Bacterial small subunit ribosomal RNA", at positions 526 to 896 of the family's 1533-position model. The record is from RNAcentral.
CGUAGGUGACCAGCGUUGUCCGGAUUUACUGGGCGUAAAGAGCGCGCAGGCGGUCGUUCAAGUCGAGUGUGAAAGCCCCCGGCUCAACUGGGGAGGGUCACUCGAUACUGAUCGACUUGAAGGCAGGAGAGGGAAGCGGAAUUCCCGAUGUAGUGGUGAAAUGCGUAGAUAUCGGGAGGAACACCAGUGGCGAAGGCGGCUUCCUGGCCUGUUCUUGACGCUGAGGCGCGAAAGCUAGGGGAGCAAACGGGAUUAGAUACCCCGGUAGUCCUAGCCGUAAACGAUGGACACUAGGUGUUGGUGGUAUCAACCCCACCAGUGCCGAAGCUAACGCAUUAAGUGUCCCGCCUGGGGAGUACGGCCGCAAGGCUA